GAUGCACAAUCGUUAUAAAAGAAUCAUAAAAGUGGUCUCUAUGACUCAUGCAUUAUAUGGAGUCUUCUAAAGUCAGAAAGUUAUUCUGGGGAAAAAAAGCUUGACAUUAGCCCUAGCUUUUCCUCGGUGCAGUUUAUGAAAUUGUUGCUGGUUGUUGAUACAGUUCACAAAAAAAGAAAAAAAAAAAGAAGAAAAGAAAUUUAAGAACAACAACAAUGAAAACAACAAACAAACAAGUAUGAUUAAUUCAAUCAAACUGAUCUGAUUAUCAAGUUAAUUUACAACAAUAAGUUUAAUCUGGUACCCCAUCAUACUGUUGUUCUGCUUGUUUAUUGAUCUAUUGAUCUUUCAGGCUCUCUAUCAUUUUACCAUUCGUUAUAUCGAUAAAUCAUUCUAAUGAUGAUCUCUGUUGUUUUUACUAAAUAAAACUGGCAGUUGGUUGUCAGAAUAGUUAAAAACUACACUAAAAAUGGCAAUAACUUUUUUACAUUUUAGUUUUUUUUUUUUUCACUGAAUUAGCAUGCUACUCUGUCAUGCUAAACUCUAUUUUGAUCCCUGUCUGCCUGCCUAGAAUCUAAUCAAUUACUAAUAACACACAUUAGCUUGUAGAUAUAUACUGUAGUUUCAUUGCCUGCUUUCCUUGACUCAUGUAUCUCAGAUUCUCUGCUUCCUCUUAAAAAUGCUGGCCAACUAAAAAGUUUCUCAGUCAUUCAAUGCAAAAACAACGUGGUGAAACCAGAGACAAGCAGAGGGUGACACAGUACUGUGGAUGCAAAGCAUGGUUUUCCUUGUGAUCGAGAUUUCAGCAUCUCAGAGCCCUUGGGAGUCAUCGCCAGAGGAAGAGGAAGGAGAGUGGGAGGAACUGAAGGAAGAGCAGAGCCAGGAUGUUGCUCCAAAGUGGAUGAAAGAGCCAGAAGUCACAACUCUAGGAAUUCAUGACAAAGAAUGGUCAUUGUGUGCAUGUGAUCACAAAUUCUCCAUAAAUGUGGCUUGUAUGGAAGGGUUACAAGAAAAAAGCCACUCAUCAAGUAAGGCUACCUGCAGUCAUGACAAAAUGCACCUUAAAGAUUCUGAGGCAGAUGAGACUUGAAUUAUUUGACCCUCAGCACCGAAUGAUAUGUCAGAUGGAAAUCCAACACAGCUCACCAUCCAAAUAAAUGCAUUCCUACAGUAAAGCAUGGAGGUGAUGUUAUCCUGUUAUGGGGCUGUUUCUCUGUAGCAGUGACUGGAGCACUUGUCAGAAAAGAUGGAAAAAUGGACAAGGCAAAAUACCAUCAAAUUCAUGAGGAAAAUUCCCCCAAAUUCUCACCACCUCUGCCAGAAAGUUGUCAAUGGGAAGAAGGUUUAUUUCCAACAUGACAAUGACUCAAUGCAUACAGCAAAACUGACCAGAAAGAGAAAAAGAUGAAGGUUCUUGCAUGGCCAAGUCAGAGCCAAGAUUUAAACCCCAUUGAAAAUAUUUGGAAUGACUUGAAGACUGGAGCCCACAAAUGCCUCCUAUUAAAUUUAACUGAACUUGAGCAGUUCUGCAAAGAAAAGUUGGCAAAGUUAGUAGAGACGUUGGACUGAUAACUUGAAGGUUGUGGAUUUGAAUCUCAGUUCUGGCAGUAAUUGUCUGUGGGGAGAUUGAAUAUCCAGCACUCUCUUCCACCAUCUAUACCAUUACUGAGGUGAGACCAAACCCCCACUGGUGUGUGUGUACACUAGGAUGGGUUAAAUGCAGAGCACAAAUUCCAAGUAUGGGCCACCAUACUUGGCCACAAGUCAAUUCACUUUCACUUAUUAAAGCAAAAGCUGAUUCAAUG
Long non-coding RNA from Carassius gibelio (silver crucian carp), 1805 nucleotides. RefSeq lists it as uncharacterized. The record is from RefSeq and is a predicted model, not a curated record. NCBI's taxonomy places the organism in Eukaryota, Metazoa, Chordata, Actinopteri, Cypriniformes, Cyprinidae. The transcript is spliced from 3 exons.